CAGCAACCAUCAAACAUAUUAGAUCUAGAUUGCCAUGCUGGCACUUCAAGACUUUCUCUAAUACCCUGUACAAGAACUGAAAUCCAACCUAUUGACCACUGGGAAAGCUUCCAAUAAUUGCAUAUUGGAGAAGCAAAUCAGCAGGCAUAGCAGGGCUAGCCACCCUUCACCCCUCCAAAAAAGAAAGAGGAGGAGGGAUGACUUGGAGACGGACCAAACUGGCA
Molecule: non-coding RNA, 224 nt
Organism: Pelodiscus sinensis (Chinese soft-shelled turtle)
Lineage: Eukaryota; Metazoa; Chordata; Testudines; Trionychidae
Source: RefSeq, a predicted model, not a curated record